GUGGAUUAGAUACCCUAGUAGUCCACGCCUUAAACGAUGAAUACUAGACGUUGGGGUUAAACUCAGUGUCGCAGCUAACGCAUUAAGUAUUCCACCUGGGGAGUACGAUCGCAAGGUUGAAACUCAAAGGAAUUGACGGGGGCCCGCACAAGCAGUGGAGCAUGUGGUUCAAUUCGAUGCAACGCGAAGAACCUUACCUAGGCUUGACAUGAUAGCUAAAGCGAAUGAAAGUUCGUGUCCCGCAAGGGGAGCUAUUACAGAUGCUGCAUGGCCGUCGUCAGCU
This 283-nucleotide ribosomal RNA is filed under the name uncultured bacterium. RNAcentral describes it as "partial 16S ribosomal RNA". It matches the Rfam family "Bacterial small subunit ribosomal RNA", at positions 773 to 1060 of the family's 1533-position model. The record is from RNAcentral.